GGGGUGGAGUAACACGUGGGUAACCUGCCCGGAAGUGGGGAAGUACCUCGGGGAAACUCGAGCUAAUACCGCAUGACAUCUUUGGGACGAAAGUCCUGACGAUCAAAGCGGGGUCGCAAGAUCUCGCGCUACCGGAUGGGCCCGCGCCCGAUUAGCUAGUUGGUGAGGUAACGGCUCACCAAGGCUUCGAUCGGUAACCGGCCUGAGAGGGCGAUCGGUCACACCGGAACUGAGACACGGUCCGG
RNAcentral lists this ribosomal RNA (245 nucleotides) under uncultured bacterium. Its description in RNAcentral is "partial 16S ribosomal RNA". It matches the Rfam family "Bacterial small subunit ribosomal RNA", at positions 104 to 334 of the family's 1533-position model. The record is from RNAcentral.